Molecule: ribosomal RNA, 497 nt
Filed under: uncultured bacterium
Lineage: Bacteria
Description: partial 16S ribosomal RNA
Rfam family: Bacterial small subunit ribosomal RNA
Source: RNAcentral
GAUGAACGCUGGCGGCGUGCCUAAUACAUGCAAGUCGAGCGACCACACGAUGAGCUCGCGCUUCUGACGGUAGCGAGGGACGGACGAGUAACGCAUGGAUAACAUCCUUAUAAGACGUGGAUAAUUUCGGGGAACAAGUGACAAUACCGGAUCAUAUAAUGAACCGAUUAGAUCAUUAGUGAGUGUGGGUUUUGGCGUAAGAAGUAGACGGAUCCGUGUUGCAUUAACUAGUUGGUAAGGUCACGGCUUAGCAAGGAAACGAAGCCUAGCCGGGCUGUGGGGAUGAUCAGCCACACUGGAACUGAGACACGGUCCAGACUCCUACGGGAGGCAGCAGUAGGGAUUAUUACGCAAUGGGCGAAAGCGUGACGGAGCAACACCGCGUGGGUGACGAAGGACUUCGGUUCGUAAAGCUCUGUUAUUCGGGAAGAACAAAAGCUUAGGCAAAUAAGGACGUCGUGACGGUACCUAAUCAGUAAGCCACGGCUAACGACGUG